Long non-coding RNA from Cucurbita moschata (crookneck pumpkin), 108 nucleotides. RefSeq lists it as uncharacterized. The record is from RefSeq and is a predicted model, not a curated record. Lineage: Eukaryota; Viridiplantae; Streptophyta; Magnoliopsida; Cucurbitales; Cucurbitaceae. The transcript has 3 exons.
UGGCUCUGAUACCAUUUUAGAUGAAUACGACUCUCCAUAAUAAUAUGAUAUUGUCCACUUUGAGCAUAAACUCUAUGUCUUUACUUUAGGCUUCCCAAAAUAUCUCAU